Molecule: unclassified non-coding RNA, 673 nt
Filed under: Bombus terrestris (buff-tailed bumblebee)
Lineage: Eukaryota; Metazoa; Arthropoda; Insecta; Hymenoptera; Apidae
Description: misc RNA ENSBTSG00005020211.1
Source: RNAcentral
UCUCUUGUUUCUUUCUCUCUAUUCGUGCUAGUCCCCUCCUAUUUCUUACCGUUUCGCCGUUCUCCGUGUUUAUCGUGACGAAGGCAGAUCCUGUCGAAAAUAUAUAGUCCUGUGUCCUUUCCUUCCUUCCUUCUACGCGUUUAUCCCUGUUCGGUUUUGUUUUGGUGUUUAUUGGUGAGAAUCUACCGGGACGAUAGGAACAAAGGGACGAAGCGAACGGCUGUGAAAGAGCAACGCAGACGAACAGAGUGUGAGAGAGACAUCGUGGUGUAUCGAUUGAGAGCGGAGCUUGCAGUUGACAAAAAUCGCCAAAGAAGAGCUACCAAAGUACUUAGAAGGGAGGAUGAAGUGGAAGGACAGAAAGAUAUUAGCAAGAUUCAGAUGUGGAAACGAGACCAAAGCAAGGGAAUACUGGAAAGAAGAGGGAGAAAAGAGAUGCGGACUAUGUAAAAGGAAAGAAGAAGACCUGAGACAUGUAAAAGAAGAAUGCGAAAUAACGGGAGGACCAAAGGACACGGAAAAACACUAAAUGAGACUGGAGAAGAGCUAACAGAACUAAAAGCAAUAAUAGAGAAGAGGAGGGCAAUACAAGACGGGGAGGAACGACGAUAAGGAAGCACAGCAAGGAGGCAAAAGCUCAAAAGUUGCCAUAGCUUUGGAGACAGAAUAAUUA